AAUAUUGGACAAUGGGCGAAAGCCUGAUCCAGCCAUGCCGCGUGUGUGAAGAAGGUCUNCGGAUUNUNAAGCCCUUUAAGUUGGGNGGAUGGGCAGUAAGUUAAUGCCUUGCUGUUUUGACGUUACCGACAGAAUAAGCACCGGCUAACUUCGUGCCAGCAGCCGCGGUAAGACGAAGGGUGCAAGCGUUAAUCGGAAUUACUGGGCGUAAAGCGCGCGUAGGGGGUUUGGUAAGGUGGAGGUGAAAGCCCCGGGCUCAACCUGGGAACUGCUUUCAAAUAUGGCAAGCUAGAGUAUGGCAGAGGGUGGUGGAAUUUCCUGUGUAGCGGUGAAAUGCGUAGAUAUAGGAAGGAACAUCAGUGGCGAAGGCAACUACCUGGACUGAUACUGACACUGAGGUGCGAAAGCGUGGGGAGCAAACAGG
RNAcentral lists this ribosomal RNA (424 nucleotides) under uncultured bacterium. RNAcentral describes it as "partial 16S ribosomal RNA". It matches the Rfam family "Bacterial small subunit ribosomal RNA", at positions 360 to 776 of the family's 1533-position model. The record is from RNAcentral.